GACGUAGGGCGCAAGCGUUGUCCGGAUUUAUUGGGCGUAAAGAGCUCGUAGGCGGCUCGUUGCGUCGGCUGUGAAAACCCGCAGCUCAACUGUGGGCUUGCAGCCGAUACGGGCGGGCUGGAGUUCGGUAGGGGAGACUGGAAUUCCUGGUGUAGCGGUGAAAUGCGUAGAUAUCGGGAGGAACACCAGUGGCGAAGGCGGCUUCCUGGCCUGUUCUUGACGCUGAGGCGCGAAAGCUAGGGGAGCAAACGGG
RNAcentral lists this ribosomal RNA (253 nucleotides) under uncultured bacterium. RNAcentral's name for it is "partial 16S ribosomal RNA". It matches the Rfam family "Bacterial small subunit ribosomal RNA", at positions 524 to 776 of the family's 1533-position model. The record is from RNAcentral.